AUGGGUGCUUAUGAAAUUGAAUCUAUGUUCAAAGAAUAUGAAAAUCUUUAUGAUGUUGUCUACAGACCUGAAAAUUUAGCUAUCCUUAAAUAUUGUUAUGAGAAUUAUGAAUACAAUUCCGAUAUUGAUGCGUUUGUUGAGAAAGUCUCCGCUGUCCCAAAAGAGACUAAUACUUUGCAGGAGUCUAUGGAAGAAGAAAUUGAUGAAACUGUGAGCUCAUUGGAUGAAAAAGAUGAAGAGGAGAGCGAAGAACAAAAGGAGGAAGAGCGGAUUGAUCACCCUUGCCCACCUUCUAAUGAGAGUAACUCUUCAACUCAUACAUUAUUUAAUUUCCCUUCAUGCUUACCGAAGGAUGAAUGCUAUGAUAAUUGCUACGAUCCCGUUGAUUCUUUUGAAAUAUCCCUCUUUGAUGAUGCUUGCUAUGCUUGUGGCCAAGAUGCCAAUAUGAAUUAUGCUUAUGGAGAUGAACUUGCUAUAGUUACUUAUGUUAAACAUGAAAUUGUUGCUAUUGCACCAACACAUGAUAGUCCUAUUAUCUUUUUGAAUUCUCCAAACUACACUAUAUCGGAGAAGUUUGUGCUUAUUAAGGAUUAUAGUGAUGGGUUGCCUUUUAGUACUACACAUGAUGAUUUUGAUGAGUAUAAUAUGCAUGUGCUUUCUGCUCCUACUUGCAAUUAUUAUGAGAGAGGAACUAUAUCUCCACCUCUCUAUGUUUCCCACAUGAUAAAAUUGCAAGAAACUAUUUAUACUAUGCAUUGGCCUUUACUAUGUGUGCAUGAAUUGUUCUUUUAUGACAUGCCGAUGCAUAGGAAGAGAGUUAGAUUUCGUCAUUAA
This 834-nucleotide ribosomal RNA is filed under the name Triticum aestivum (bread wheat). Its description in RNAcentral is "partial small subunit ribosomal RNA". The record is from RNAcentral. Lineage: Eukaryota; Viridiplantae; Streptophyta; Magnoliopsida; Poales; Poaceae.